Ictalurus furcatus (blue catfish) is the source of this 242-nucleotide long non-coding RNA. RefSeq lists it as uncharacterized. Lineage: Eukaryota; Metazoa; Chordata; Actinopteri; Siluriformes; Ictaluridae. The transcript is spliced from 3 exons. The record is from RefSeq and is a predicted model, not a curated record.
GAGAGAGAGAGAGAGAGAGAGAGAGGGGGAAGAGAAACAGACAGAAGGAAAGAGGAAAGGAGAAGAGUGAAAGAAAGAACAGUAAAGGGAGAGACAGACUGAGACUCAAGAAAAAAGAGACAGAAUACUACUAGUAAUGUGAGAGCGUGCAGCACGUGUCGCUGGAAACACCGCCACAGAAAAGAGAAGACAGGAGACGCAACACAAACCUGAGCCAACUCAGGAAUGUGAUUUAAGGAAAG